CUGGCGGCGUGGCUAACACAUGCAAGUCGAACGAGAAAGUGGAGCAAUCCAUGAGUAAAGUGGCGCACGGGUGAGUAACACGUGACUAACCUACCCUUGAGUGGGGGAUAACUGAAGGAAACCUUAGCUAAUACCGCAUAAUACCUACGGGUCAAAGGAGCAAUUCGCUUAAGGAGGGGGUCGCGGCCGAUUAGUUAGUUGGCAGGGUAAUGGCCUACCAAGACGAUGAUCGGUAUCCGGCCUGAGAGGGCGCACGGACACACUGGAACUGAAACACGGUCCAGACUCCUACGGGAGGCAGCAGUGGGGAAUUUUGCGCAAUGGGGGAAACCCUGACGCAGCAACGCCGCGUGGAGGAUGAAGUCCUUCGGGACGUAAACUCCUUUCGAUCGGGACGAUUAUGACGGUACCGGAAGAAGAAGCCCCGGCUAACUUCGUGCCAGCAGCCGCGGUAAUACGAGGGGGGCGAGCGUUGUUCGGAAUUAUUGGGCGUAAAGGGUGCGUANGCGGUUUGGUAAGUCUUAUGUGAAAUCUAUGGGCUCAACUCAUAGUCUGCAUGAGAAACUGCCGGGCUUGAGUAUGGGAGAGGUGAGU
This 594-nucleotide ribosomal RNA is filed under the name uncultured bacterium. RNAcentral's name for it is "bacterial SSU rRNA". It matches the Rfam family "Bacterial small subunit ribosomal RNA", at positions 36 to 662 of the family's 1533-position model. The record is from RNAcentral.